CUACGUGCCAGCAGCCGCGGUAAUACGGAAGGUCCAGGCGUUAUCCGGAUUUAUUGGGUUUAAAGGGAGCGUAGGCGGAUUAUUAAGUCAGUGGUGAAAGACGGUGGCUCAACCAUCGUUAGCCAUUGAAACUGGUAGUCUUGAGUGCAGACAGGGAUGCUGGAACUCGUGGUGUAGCGGUGAAAUGCUUAGAUAUCACGAUGAACUCCGAUCGCGAAGGCAGGUGUCCGGGCUGCAACUGACGCUGAGGCUCGAAAGUGUGGGUAUCAAACAGGAUUAGAUACCCUGGUAGUCCACACAGUAAACGAUGUAUACUCGCGGUUUGCGAUACAAUGUAAGCCGCCAAGCGAAAGCAUUAAGUAUACCACCUGGGGAGUACGCCGGCAACGGUGAAACUCAAAGGAAUUGACGGGGGCCCGCACAAGCGGAGGAACAUGUGGUUUAAUUCGAUGAUACGCGAGGAACCUUACCCGGGAUUGAA
This 481-nucleotide ribosomal RNA is filed under the name uncultured bacterium. RNAcentral's name for it is "bacterial SSU rRNA". It matches the Rfam family "Bacterial small subunit ribosomal RNA", at positions 501 to 985 of the family's 1533-position model. The record is from RNAcentral.